CCUGCUCUAGGGUGAGGUCCAGAUUCCCCAGGACCUGGGCUUGCCUAUCAGCCUAGAAUCUCUCUCACUAGUCUCCUCUCUGUAGUGGAUUAGAUGAAGGCCCCCAAAAAGACAAGCCCAGGACCAGUCCCAUGGCCUAGUGGUUAAGUUUGGCACACACUGCUUCUGUGGCCUGGGUUUGGUUCCUGGGCGUGGACCUAUGCCACUCCUCUGUUGGUGGCCAUGCUAUGGUGGCAUCCCACAUACAAAAUAGAGGAAGAUUGGCACGGAUGUUACCUCAGGGACAAUCUUCCUCAGCAAAAAAAAAAAAAAAAAGAUAUAUCCACAAUAUCCACAUCCUAACGCCUGGGCCCUGUGAAUGUCACCUUAUUUCGAAAAAAGGUCUUUGCAGAUGUAAUUAAGUUAAGAGUCUUGAGAUGAGGAGAUCAUCCUGGAUUACCUGGGUGGGUCCUAAAUCCAAUGACAAGUGUCCUUAUAAGAAGUAAAAGAGAAGACACAGACAUAGAGUAGAAGGCCAGUGAAGGUGGAGGCAGGGACCAGAAUAUACAGCCACAAGGAAUGCCUGGAGCCUCCAGAAGCUGGAAUUCCAGACGUGAGGAAGGAUUCUCCCAUAGUGCCUCUGGAGAGAGUGCCACCUGCUGACACCUUGAUCUCAGACUUGCCACCUCCAGAGCCGUGAGGAAAGGAAUUUCCGUUGUUGCAGCCACCCAGUCUGUGGUGAUUUGUCACGGCAGCCCCAGGAAGCUAACACCCUCCCCCACAGGGCUCCAGCCAUGCCACCUGGCCUGAGAAAGAACUACCAGACUCCUCAAAGCUGCCUGGAUCUCUUUCUGGACCUUUGCACAUGCUGAUCCUUCUGCCCAAAACAUUCUUCCAUCCCCUUAUUGUGCAACUCACUCCUAUGGUCCCAUCACUCCUGCUGAAAAGUCUUCUCUGCCUCCUCAGCCAGGCAGAGCACGUGUUUCUUGUCGGCUUCGAAUGCAGAGCUCUCCACUGCCCAGAGCUGCCUUCCUGUGGUGCAAACAAGGAGAAAGUGAAAAGCGACAUCUCUGUUCGUUGUGCUCCGUUGUCUGAUGGCUCCCGCCUCACCCACAG
This 1095-nucleotide long non-coding RNA is filed under the name Equus caballus (horse). RNAcentral's name for it is "lncRNA (ENSECAG00000048732.1)". The record is from RNAcentral. Lineage: Eukaryota; Metazoa; Chordata; Mammalia; Perissodactyla; Equidae.